UUAUUUCGAAUCUUAAAUAUGAUCCUUUUUCGAAAUCAGUGGUUGGGCCGAAUGCCUGGAGUGCA
RNAcentral lists this transfer RNA (65 nucleotides) under Balamuthia mandrillaris. Its description in RNAcentral is "tRNA-Arg". Lineage: Eukaryota; Discosea; Longamoebia; Balamuthiidae. The record is from RNAcentral.